GCACACUUCACACCCACCCUUUGCUGAGCUGCUGUGCAGGACAGGGAAGGGCAUAGAAGAACCAGCCCUGGGUCCUCCCAAGGGGUCUAGUGGACAAGGGCAGCCUGCAGAGACACAGAGCAGUGAUGUCAUCAUAGGCAAAUGCUCCAAUCAGGGAACAGGAGGGUCAGAACUCUAUGCCACUCACCCCAGGAGCCUCUCCCCCAGCCAGCAGCAGUCUUGGGUUCCUGAUGCUGCCAUGGGCUCCAGACUCCUCUGCUGUGUGACUCUCUGUCUCCUGGGAGCAGGCCUGGUGGAUUCUGAAGUCACCCAGACCCCCAAAUACCUGAUCAAAUCAAGAAAGGAGCAAGCGACUCUGGGAUGUUCCCCUGAAUCUGGACACCGCUCUGUGAACUGGUACCAACAAGCCCUGGGCCAGGGCCCCCGGUUCCUCGUUCAGUAUUACCGCGGACAAGUUAGUGGAGAAGAAAACAUGCCAGAUCGAUUCUCAGCAAAACAAUUUAGUGACUUUCGCUCUGAGCUGAAUUUGAGCUCCUUGGAGCUGACAGACUCAGCCGUGUAUCUCUGUGCCAGCAGCCAAGACACAGCCUCACAUGAUCAGGUGCCUCUGGAACAAAAACACUCCUGCCCCAGCUCAGGAAGUGGCCUUGAGGGUGUUGGCUGCCAGCCAGCCAGGCCCAGGCUCUGGUAG
Non-coding RNA from Capra hircus (goat), 691 nucleotides. The record is from the annotation of a RefSeq genome assembly. NCBI's taxonomy places the organism in Eukaryota, Metazoa, Chordata, Mammalia, Artiodactyla, Bovidae.